UUUAGAAUAGUUUAUUAAAAUGUCAAUUUGUGGUAUUGUUGUAGAUUUUUCUUCUGUUUAUUUUUGGG
RNAcentral lists this transfer RNA (68 nucleotides) under Dugesia japonica. RNAcentral's name for it is "tRNA-His". Lineage: Eukaryota; Metazoa; Platyhelminthes; Tricladida; Dugesiidae. The record is from RNAcentral.